RNAcentral lists this ribosomal RNA (235 nucleotides) under uncultured bacterium. RNAcentral describes it as "partial small subunit ribosomal RNA". It matches the Rfam family "Bacterial small subunit ribosomal RNA", at positions 26 to 291 of the family's 1533-position model. The record is from RNAcentral.
AGAACGAACGCUGGCGGCAGGCUUAACACAUGCAAGUCGAACGCCCCGCAAGGGGAGUGGCAGACGGGUGAGUAACACGUGGGAACAUACCCUUCGGUUCGGAACAACGUUUGGAAACGAACGCUAAUACCGGAUACGGCCUAUGGGCAAAAGAUUCAUCGCCGAAGGAUUGGCCCGCGUUCGAUUAGCUUGAUGGUGAGGUAACGGCUCACCAUGGCGACGAUCGAUAGCUGGU